This 89-nucleotide transfer RNA is filed under the name Anaerolineae bacterium. RNAcentral's name for it is "tRNA-Ser". It matches the Rfam family "tRNA". From Rfam's summary of the family: Transfer RNA (tRNA) molecules are approximately 80 nucleotides in length. Their secondary structure includes four short double-helical elements and three loops (D, anti-codon, and T loops). Lineage: Bacteria; Bacillati; Chloroflexota; Anaerolineae. The record is from RNAcentral.
GGAGAGGUCGCAUAGUCCGGCCGAGUGCGCACGAUUGGAAAUCGUGUAGGCGAUGAGCCUCGCGGGUUCAAAUCCCGCCCUCUCCGCCA